Molecule: long non-coding RNA, 296 nt
Organism: Heterocephalus glaber (naked mole-rat)
Lineage: Eukaryota; Metazoa; Chordata; Mammalia; Rodentia; Bathyergidae
Source: Ensembl
CACAGUCACAAACAAAAUCCACUGCCAACUCUGGAUUUUAACAAUAUCAAAUAGCAGUUUCUGCCAUGAUGGAAAUGACCAUGGUGGCCACUAAUAACAUGGGCCUAUUGCAUACUUGAAAGCUCACUUGGCCACUGCAUUGUCCAGCUGAGGUGACACUGGACACCCAGUAUCUCAGCCAGGCAUCAAGGGAGAGGGCCAAGACAAGCACAGAUGGAUCAAGAGACUCUGGGCUCCUGUCUAAAAAUCAUUUAAAGUGCAUGCAAUCUAAACAUCAAAGCAAUCACUCAAUGACC